Molecule: ribosomal RNA, 468 nt
Filed under: uncultured bacterium
Lineage: Bacteria
Description: partial 16S ribosomal RNA
Rfam family: Bacterial small subunit ribosomal RNA
Source: RNAcentral
GAUGAACGCUGGCGGCGUGCUUAACACAUGCAAGUCGAACGGUGAAGGCGGAGCUUGCUCUGCUGGAUCAGUGGCGAGCGGGUGAGUAACACGUGAGCAAUCUGCCCCUGACUCUGGGAUAAGCGCUGGAAACGGCGUCUAAUACUGGAUACGAGCUGCGAAGGCAUCUUCAGCAGCUGGAAAGAAUUUCGGUCAGGGAUGAGCUCGCGGCCUAUCAGCUUGUUGGUGAGGUAAUGGCUCACCAAGGCGUCGACGGGUAGCCGGCCUGAGAGGGUGACCGGCCACACUGGGACUGAGACACGGCCCAGACUCCUACGGGAGGCAGCAGUGGGGAAUAUUGCACAAUGGGCGAAAGCCUGAUGCAGCAACGCCGCGUGAGGGACGACGGCCUUCGGGUUGUAAACCUCUUUUAGCAGGGAAGAAGCGAAAGUGACGGUACCUGCAGAAAAAGCGCCGGCUAACUACGUG